AUGCCUUACACAUGCAAGUCGAACGGCAGCAUGGAAGAGCUUGCUCUUCUGAUGGCGAGUGGCGAACGGGUGAGUAAAGCAUCGGAACGUACCGUGUAGUGGGGGAUAACGUAGCGAAAGUUACGCUAAUACCGCAUACGCACUGAGGUGGAAAGCAGGGGAUCGCAAGACCUUGCGCUAUACGAGCGGCCGAUGUCAGAUUAGCUAGUUGGUAGGGUAAAGGCCUACCAAGGCGACGAUCUGUAGCGGGUCUGAGAGGAUGAUCCGCCACACUGGGACUGAGACACGGCCCCAGACUCCUACGGGAGGCAGCAGUGGGGAAUUUUGGACAAUGGGCGAAAGCCUGAUCCAGCCAUGCCGCGUGAGUGAAGAAGGCCUUCGGGUUGUAAAGCUCUUUCGGCUGGGAAGAAAUCGCACAGGCUAAUACUCUGUGUGGAUGACGGUACCAGCACAAGAAGCACCGGCUAACUACGUG
RNAcentral lists this ribosomal RNA (475 nucleotides) under uncultured bacterium. RNAcentral describes it as "bacterial SSU rRNA". It matches the Rfam family "Bacterial small subunit ribosomal RNA", at positions 44 to 507 of the family's 1533-position model. The record is from RNAcentral.